Molecule: unclassified non-coding RNA, 240 nt
Filed under: soil metagenome
Description: partial contains 5.8S ribosomal RNA, internal transcribed spacer 2, and large subunit ribosomal RNA
Source: RNAcentral
AACUGAUACUACCUGCGGGAACCUGCGGAGGGAUCAUUACAGGACUCGCAAGACUCCUACAACCCUGUGAACUUAACUAUAAGCACGUUGCUUCGGCGGGUGUCUCGGCGAGGGUUCUCCCUCCCCGGGGCGCUAAGCCCGCCGGCAGCCUACUAUACUCUGUCUCUUUGCGUUGGCAUCUCGAGUACAAACAAACAAGUUAAAACUUUCAGCAACGGAUCUCUAGAUCGGAAGAGCACA